AGUUAUCUCCCUGUAGUGUUAGGUACCACCUUAAAUUUUUCAAAAUUCAAUAUUAAAAUAUUUGUUGAGAAAAUUUUACAGAAAUCCACAAACAUAGUGAUUUAUUUUUAAUAUAACUUUUAUAUUAGUUAUAAAAUGUUUUUUUUCUUAAAUUACUUGAUAAUAUUAUUAAUAUUAAUUAAGAAGAAAAUGUAAAGCGUUGAAUCCCACUUUGUAAUUGUCCUUGUCCCAAAUCUUGAACUAUCCAACCUCUUUAAAAGUGGUUCUAAGUAUUUAACAUCUUUUAAUUUUUGUCCUUGUAAAGAAUAGGUUUAUGAAGGCAGAUCUUUUGUAUUCGCUUUUUACAACAUAUUUUGAAUAAAAAGUUGUCUGUUAUAGUAAAAAUAGUGCUGAGGGUAGCAAGAAAUAAAAUGGACGAUUUUAUGGCAAAAAGUUUUCCUAUUAAAGAAUGUGGUUCCCCAACUUCGUCCACUGCCAAUUAAUGAGUUGUUUUUGUUGAUGUAUAAUCCACACGCACCCUUCAAAUCACCUAGAAAUAAUGAGGUCAGUAUUCAUUUGUAAAUAUAGAAUAGAUAUUAUAUUCAUUUAAAGAUAUAGAAUAGAUUAUCUUAUAUUGUCAUUCAGUUCCUCUUCAUUUUGAAUAGCUAUAUAGAUUUAAUAUAUGCAAUCAAAAAAAUAUACACCAAUAUACUCUGUUGAGAAUAGAAUGUAGUAAUAUAUUGUUGGCAA
Molecule: long non-coding RNA, 729 nt
Filed under: Mytilus galloprovincialis (Mediterranean mussel)
Lineage: Eukaryota; Metazoa; Mollusca; Bivalvia; Mytilida; Mytilidae
Source: RNAcentral